GUAUCCUGACCGUGCAAAGGUAGCAUAAUCAUUUGCCUCUUAAUUGGUGGCUAGUAUGAAUGGACACACGCAAGCAUCGCUGUCUCACUAAUAUAAAUAAAAACUAACCUUUAGGUGAAGAGGCCUAAAUAAAAUAAAAAGACAAAAAGACCCUAUGGAGCUUUAUUUUUCCUCCUUUAACGUACAAUAUACUAAAAUACCUUCCAGGACUAACAAAUUUAGUUGGGGCGACUUAGGAAAACAAUAAAUCUUCCUAGUUUAACAAGAAAAUAAUUCAUCCAACGAUCCGCCAUGCGAAUACAGAUCCAGCUACCCUAGGGAUAACAGGCUAAUUCUUCUCGAGAGCCCGAAUUGACAGAAGAGAUUGGCACCUCG
This 375-nucleotide ribosomal RNA is filed under the name Laonice weddellia. RNAcentral describes it as "partial 16S ribosomal RNA". It matches the Rfam family "Bacterial large subunit ribosomal RNA", at positions 1936 to 2528 of the family's 2925-position model. The record is from RNAcentral. Lineage: Eukaryota; Metazoa; Annelida; Polychaeta; Spionida; Spionidae.